CCUACGGGGGGCAGCAGUGAGGAAUAUUGGUCAAUGGGGGUAAGCCUGAACCAGCCAAGUCGCGUGAGGGAUGAAGGUUCUAUGGAUCGUAAACCUCUUUUAUAAGGGAAUAAAGUGUGGGACGUGUCCUAUUUUGUAUGUACCUUAUGAAUAAGGAUCGGCUAACUCCGUGCCAGCAGCCGUGGUAAUACGGAGGAUCCGAGCGUUAUCCGGAUUUAUUGGGUUUAAAGGGUGCGUAGGCGGCCUUUUAAGGCAGCGGUGAAAGUCUGUGGCUCAACCAUAGAAUUGCCGUUGAAACUGGGGGUCUUGAGUCUGUUUGAGGCAGGCGGAAUGCGUGGUGUAGCGGUGAAAUGCUUAGAUAGCACGCAGAACCCCGAUUGCGAAGGCAGCCUGCCAAGCCAUGACUGACGCUGAUGCACGAAAGCGUGGGGAUCAAACAGGAUUAGAUACCAUGGUAGUC
RNAcentral lists this ribosomal RNA (460 nucleotides) under uncultured bacterium. Its description in RNAcentral is "partial 16S ribosomal RNA". It matches the Rfam family "Bacterial small subunit ribosomal RNA", at positions 338 to 795 of the family's 1533-position model. The record is from RNAcentral.